UGUUGACGUAUAAUGUGUUGCCUAGUCUCUUUCAUCAGAUCGGUCUUUUGGUUGCAUUGGCUAGAGCAUGCACUUCUACAUGGUAUCAGAGCCAAGAGGUCUCGAGUUCAAGACCCGGCUGGCGCAAUUAAAUUGCAGCCCACUAUCGGUCCACGUUUAGGCCUGAGGGAGCCACACGUGAGGGGGAGUGUUGACGUAUAGUGUGCUGCCUAGUCUCUUUCAUCAGAUCGGUCUUUUGGUUGCAUUGGCUAGAGCAUGCACUUCUAC
This 267-nucleotide long non-coding RNA is filed under the name Hordeum vulgare. Its description in RNAcentral is "long non-coding RNA (HVUL_LNC007205)". Lineage: Eukaryota; Viridiplantae; Streptophyta; Magnoliopsida; Poales; Poaceae. The record is from RNAcentral.